RNAcentral lists this ribosomal RNA (280 nucleotides) under uncultured bacterium. RNAcentral's name for it is "partial 16S ribosomal RNA". It matches the Rfam family "Bacterial small subunit ribosomal RNA", at positions 773 to 1060 of the family's 1533-position model. The record is from RNAcentral.
GUGGAUUAGAUACCCUAGUAGUCCUAGCUGUAAACAAUGGAUACUAGGCGGUGCUUUUGUACUGUCGUAGCUAACGCGUUAAGUAUCCCGCCUGGGGAGUACGCUUGCAAAAGUGAAACUCAAAGGAAUUGACGGGGACCCGCACAAGCGGUGGAGCAUGCGGUUUAAUUCGUUGGUACACGAAGAACCUUACCAGGGUUUGACAUGUUAGGAAAUUUUAUGAAAGUAAAAUGUGCCUUUAUGGAACCUAAACACAGGUGGUGCAUGGCCGUCGUCAACU